UGAGUACGAGAUGCUACGGCAUCGAAGCAGUCUAUGUCAUACUUCCAAGAAAAGCUUGCACUGUCAGAAACAGAUAAUGCCUGUACCAUAACCGACACAGGUGGGUAGGUAGAGUAUACUAAGGGGCGCGAGAUAACUCUCUCUAAGGAACUCGGCAAAAUGACUCCGUAACUUCGGGAGAAGGAGUGCCUUAUUUUUAAGGUUGCAAUAACAAGAUCCAAGCAACUGUUUACCAAAAACACAGGUCUCCGCUAAGUCGUAAGACGAUGUAUGGGGGCUGACGCCUGCCCAGUGCCAGAAGGUUAAAGAAGUCGGUUAGCAUUCGCGAAGCUGGUAACUGAAGCCCUGGUGAACGGCGGCCGUAACGAUAACGGUCCUAAGGUAGCGAAAUUCCUUGUCGGGUAAGUUCCGACCCGCACGAAAGGCGUAAUGAUUUGGAUACUGUCUCGGAGAGGGGCUCGGUGAAAUAGACUUGUCUGUGAAGAUGCGGACUACCUGCACCUGGACAGAAAGACCCUAUGAAGCUUUACUGUAACUUGAAAUUGAAAUUGGACUUUAUUUGCGCAGUAUAGGUGGGAGGCGUUGAAAAUAUUCUUGCGGGAAUAUUGGAGCCAUCAGUGAGAUACCACUCUUGUAAUGUUAGAUUUCUAACUUUAUAUCAUUAUCUGGUUAAAGAACAGUUUCAGGCGGGCAGUUUGACUGGGGCGGUCGCCUCCCAAAUGGUAACGGAGGCGCACAAAGGUUUCCUCUGAACGGGUAGAAAUCGUAUCUAGAGUGUAAAGGCAUAAGGAAGCUUGACUGUGAGACCUACAAGUCGAGCAGGGACGAAAGUCGGUCUUAGUGAUCUGACGGUGCUGAGUGGAAAGGCCGUCACUCAACGGAUAAAAGUUACUCUAGGAUAACAGGCUGAUCUCCCCCAAGAGUUCACAUCGACGGGGAGGUUUGGCACCUCGAUGUCGGCUCAUCGCAUCCUGGGGCGGUAGUACGUCCCAAGGGUUGGGCUGUUCGCCCAUGAAAGCGGUACGCGAGCUGGGUUCAGAACGUCGUGAGACAGUUCGGUCCAUAUCCGGUGUAGGCGUUAGAAUAUUGAGAGGAGCCUUCUUUAGUACGAGAGGACCGAGAAGGACAUACCUCUGGUGUACCAGUUAUCGUGCCAACGGUAAACGCUGGGUAGCUAUGUAUGGAGUGGAUAACCGCUGAAAGCAUCUAAGUGGGAAGCCCACCUCAAGAUAAG
RNAcentral lists this ribosomal RNA (1234 nucleotides) under metagenome. RNAcentral's name for it is "bacterial LSU rRNA". It matches the Rfam family "Bacterial large subunit ribosomal RNA", at positions 1564 to 2808 of the family's 2925-position model. The record is from RNAcentral.